This is a long non-coding RNA of Girardinichthys multiradiatus, 2045 nucleotides long. RefSeq lists it as uncharacterized. The record is from RefSeq and is a predicted model, not a curated record. Lineage: Eukaryota; Metazoa; Chordata; Actinopteri; Cyprinodontiformes; Goodeidae. The transcript is spliced from 3 exons.
GCCGAAAAGGAAGUUUAAACACACACAUGAGAAUCCACACUGGAGAGAAGCCUUUCUGUUGUGAUCUAUGUGGACAAAGAUUUAGCCAAAAAGGAAGUUUAAACAAACACAUGAGAAUCCACACUAGAAUGGAGAAGAGCUAAGGUUUGAAUGCUCAAACAUAUUACGGUCGCUGUAAAAUUCAUGAAGUGCAAGGCCAUUGGGGGGAAUACUUCUAAUCUCAGGAAACACCUAGUUAAGCAUCAGAUUUUCGUCGAGGCUGAAAAAUGCACAAUUUUCGUCAGCCGCAGAUAUAUGGCUACAACUCCUGCAUUCAGCACCACUAACACGCCUGCUAAUGGAUGUAAUUUAUGCAUUAAAUUUGUGCCUUAUUAAGAAAACAAAAUCUGUGUAGUUAAGGGUUUUCAUGUUGAAGAAAUGUUUGAAACAUCUGAGAUGUUACAGUAUAAACGGCUGGAUGUUGUUUUGAUAUAUUCAGUAAAGUUUAUAUAUUGAGAAGUACAGGCACUACUGGUCAAACGUUUUAGAUACACUUUCUCACUUAAUGUGUCUGAAUGUAUAAACAUUAUCAUUAUUUAGUUUAAGCAAGGUUUAUGUUUUAAGUUCUACUCUAGUGAAGAUGAUUCUUGUGAUUGGCUUUAGUGUGGACAAAGGGUUUGUGGAAAGUUAAGGAAUGUGGUCUGGAGUGGAUCAAUCCCUGGACAUGAAAUGCUCAUACCAUAUAUGGGAAUGACUACUUUUUUUUGUUGAAAUAUUAUAAGUACUGGGUGAACCAAUUCCCGCUUUUAAGUUGAAGGAAUGUGAGUUGUAAAUAAAAGGCCGGUGCAAGGACUUCUCCCUUUGUGCUUUGUGAGAAGGAAGUUGCUGUCCUGCAGAGGACUUUCUCUCCCUUGCAAGUCAAACUUACUUGGUUCACCUUGUGUCUUAUUUCGCAGUGAUCUGUAUUUAUCAGCUUUUUAACCCUAACAUUUCUUUGGUCCUUCGAGCCGGAUCGCUAGAAAUCUGCCGCCUGGGGCCCAGCGGUGCGUGUGGGGUUUCAGUCUGCGCAGCCUCCAGAACGUCUGGAGAACAAAAAUCCUGCACAGUGAAUUCUGUGUUGAUAACCGCCGAAUCGGCCGAGGGGCACCAGGAAGGUGGAUCAACGCGUUUCGACAGAUAGUGUGAACGAACGCACAGAGAUGGCUUCAACAAUUGGUGGCUCGCCCGGGAUUUGGAACAACAGGCGAAAGAAAUUCGGACCAUUGACGAGGACCAACAGGCAUCAGACACGGGCUAGCCAAAACUACACAACAGGUAUAGAGGCCCCGGUUGUGGAAGCGGAUGGCAUGUUGGUGGUCAGCUGGUCAUAGUAGAUGGUGUGGGGCACCCAGAGGAAGGGGUGGAGCCAGCAGGGCACUGGGAGAUGUGUGCUACAACUGCGGUCAGUCUGGACAUUGGGCACGACAGCCCAUACUGACGCCCCUGAGGAGGACCAAGGCAGCAUGGGCCCAGCAGAUCCCAUGUUGCCUGCAAAGGUGGGAGAGAACUGUCUGAAUUUUUAGUGGACACUGGAGCUACUUAUUCCACCAUAACACAGCAACCUCCUAAACCACUGCUCUCUACUAAGACUGUUUCUGUGAUUGGCUUCUCAGGGGCUGCAUAAAUUCUGCCUGUGACUGUACCACCUCCUGUUCAGAUUGGGACUCAGAGAGUAACUCACCCUUUUGUGCAUUCACCCAGCACACCUGUUCAUUUGCUGGGCAGAGACUUAGUGAAGCUGGGAGCAUCAGUGCUGUGUGGUACUGAUGGGUUAACGGUAACUUUUCCAGAUGGUUCCUUUUUGGCAUGUGGACAAAUGCUUCAGCAUGGACAAUAUUUUUUACAGCCAGUUGCAGAGGAAUAUGCAGACAUCUACUGGGGACUGCUGACUGCACCUUCUUCUCCAAGCAGCAUCUUCUCUGUGUAUCAGCUGUGGAAACCCUAGAUUCAAAGUCUCUGCCUCUACACCUCUCCGCCUGACCCGCCCCAUGUCACUCUGUUCUACGACCGUUGUCACACUGAAUGGU